This 86-nucleotide transfer RNA is filed under the name Pilibacter termitis. It matches the Rfam family "tRNA". Rfam says of the family: Transfer RNA (tRNA) molecules are approximately 80 nucleotides in length. Their secondary structure includes four short double-helical elements and three loops (D, anti-codon, and T loops). Lineage: Bacteria; Bacillati; Bacillota; Bacilli; Lactobacillales; Enterococcaceae. The record is from Rfam by way of RNAcentral.
GCGGGGAUGGCGGAAUUGGCAGACGCGCAAGACUAAGGAUCUUGUGUCCAACUACGGACGUGAGGGUUCAAGUCCCUUUCCCCGCA